This 85-nucleotide transfer RNA is filed under the name bacterium. Its description in RNAcentral is "tRNA-Ser". It matches the Rfam family "tRNA". Rfam says of the family: Transfer RNA (tRNA) molecules are approximately 80 nucleotides in length. Their secondary structure includes four short double-helical elements and three loops (D, anti-codon, and T loops). The record is from RNAcentral.
GGAGAGGUGUCCGAGUGGCUGAAGGAGCACGCUUGGAAAGCGUGUGUAGUGCAUGCUACCGCGGGUUCGAAUCCCGCCCUCUCCG